UACGUAGGGUGCAAGCGUUAAUCGGAAUUACUGGGCGUAAAGCGUGCGCAGGCGGUGAUGUAAGACAGAUGUGAAAUCCCCGGGCUCAACCUGGGAACUGCAUUUGUGACUGCAUCGCUAGAGUACGGCAGAGGGGGGAUGGAAUUCCGCGUGUAGCAGUGAGAUGCGUAGAUAUGCGGAGGAACACCGAUGGCGAAGGCAAUCCCCUGGGCCUGUACUGACGCUCAUGGCACGAAAGCGUGGGGAGCAAACAGG
RNAcentral lists this ribosomal RNA (255 nucleotides) under uncultured bacterium. Its description in RNAcentral is "partial 16S ribosomal RNA". It matches the Rfam family "Bacterial small subunit ribosomal RNA", at positions 524 to 776 of the family's 1533-position model. The record is from RNAcentral.